Long non-coding RNA from Gastrolobium bilobum, 260 nucleotides. RefSeq lists it as uncharacterized. The record is from RefSeq and is a predicted model, not a curated record. Lineage: Eukaryota; Viridiplantae; Streptophyta; Magnoliopsida; Fabales; Fabaceae. The transcript has 3 exons.
GCUUGAAUAGCUCAUUGGAAUUGGUGUAUAUUUGUAAAAGUGGAUUGCUGAAACUGUUGGUGAAGAACAAAGGUCGACUGAAGCAUUGAGGUAAGGAUGCUGCAGGAGCCUCUGGUGGCAAGUGGCCAUAUCUGGAUUAUGCAUGAAAUGUGGCAUUCCUUUUGAGUUUAUGCAUGCCUUUGUAGUUGACAUGUAUAGGAAUUUAUUUUCAAAGCCUUUGGUCAUUUGUAUAUCUUGAUUCAUUGGAUGAACUUAGCCUA